UGCUGGCUGCAAUCCACAUGGCUGC
Molecule: non-coding RNA, 25 nt
Filed under: Rattus norvegicus (Norway rat)
Lineage: Eukaryota; Metazoa; Chordata; Mammalia; Rodentia; Muridae
Source: RNAcentral